AAGGUAGCAUAAUCAUUUGCCCUUUAAUUAAGGGCUAGUAUGAAUGGAUUUUCCUUAUUUAUCUGCCUCAUUAAACCCAAUAUAAAUUUAUAUUCAUUUGAAGAAAACUGAAUUAAAUUAAAGGACCAGAAGACCCUAUAGAGCUCUGUAAAAAUUUUAUAUACUAUAAAUUUACUUACUUAGUUGGGGCGACAAUAGAGUUUCUCCCUCUCUAAACCAGCCCACUAUUUACAAAUUUUUAACUUUCAAUAAAAACUAGAAAAAGCUACCUUAGGGAUAACAGUCUAAUUUUUCUCAAUAGUCCACAUUAACAGAAAAGAUUUGCACCUCGAUGUUGGCUUAGGGAUCCUAUUAACGCAAAAGUUAAUAAAGGUAGGUUUGUUCAACCUAUAUAACCCUACGUGAUC
This 407-nucleotide ribosomal RNA is filed under the name Protodrilus puniceus. RNAcentral describes it as "partial large subunit ribosomal RNA". It matches the Rfam family "Bacterial large subunit ribosomal RNA", at positions 1953 to 2605 of the family's 2925-position model. The record is from RNAcentral. Lineage: Eukaryota; Metazoa; Annelida; Polychaeta; Protodrilidae.